RNAcentral lists this long non-coding RNA (366 nucleotides) under Setaria italica (foxtail millet). RNAcentral's name for it is "long non-coding RNA (SITA_LNC006299)". The record is from RNAcentral. Lineage: Eukaryota; Viridiplantae; Streptophyta; Magnoliopsida; Poales; Poaceae.
AAUUACCCACCUAUGCCAUUAUGAAAAUAGUCUAAAGUAACCCCCUAAAUCUAUAUAUAAAUUACCCACCCCACCUCUGCCAUUAUAGAAAAUAAACUAAAGUAACCCCUAAUCUUAAUCAAAAUUACCCACUUAUGCCAUUGUAAAAAAUAUUUAAAAUAACCCCCUAAUUUGCGACUGAAUUGCCUACCACUAUUACUUAAAAAACUUAAAGUAACCCCUUAAAUUUGCAUCUAUAUUACCCACACAUGCUAUUAUUAAAAAUAACAUGAGGUAAUAACCCUACGUAAUGUACAACAAUAUAUGAUUCUAAAUUAUCUAUAUCUUGCACUAUUGGUAUACAAUAUAAUAAUUAAGAUCUAUACG